RNAcentral lists this ribosomal RNA (315 nucleotides) under Triticum aestivum (bread wheat). RNAcentral describes it as "partial small subunit ribosomal RNA". Lineage: Eukaryota; Viridiplantae; Streptophyta; Magnoliopsida; Poales; Poaceae. The record is from RNAcentral.
AUGUGCCCUACUGUAUCUUUUGUGAUUCCUAUUUUGGAGACCCUGGCGGCGCAUGUUCCUUUGCCUACUCUUUUGUACAUGUGUGAGAUAGCCGACGAUGGGGCUGUGAUUGCUGGUGUUGAGCUUGAGCUUCCUACGGAUAGUGUGUCCCUGCUUCCAGAUAGGACGUUGCUAAAAUUUCUGCAGGGGGGCUAUGGGUUUGUUAUCAGGGACUACGGGUUUCAUAGUGUUGGUUCAUACCAUUCAGGAGCAGUGCUGGUGCUAAGAACGCUGGCAAUGCAAAGAAAACAAGGCAGUAAUUCAUCUAUCGCCUAA